Molecule: ribosomal RNA, 469 nt
Filed under: uncultured bacterium
Lineage: Bacteria
Description: bacterial SSU rRNA
Rfam family: Bacterial small subunit ribosomal RNA
Source: RNAcentral
CGGGACGAACGCUGGCGGCGUGCUUAACACAUGCAAGUCGAACGGUGACGAGGAGCUUGCUCCUCUGAUCAGUGGCGAACGGGUGAGUAACACGUGAGCAACCUGCCCCAGACUCUGGGAUAACAGUUGGAAACAGCUGCUAAUACCGGAUACGAGACGGAGAGGCAUCUCUACCGUCUGGAAAGUUUUUCGGUCUGGGAUGGACUCGCGGCCUAUCAGCUAGUUGGUGAGGUAAUGGCUCACCAAGGCGACGACGGGUAGCCGGCCUGAGAGGGCGACCGGCCACACUGGGACUGAGACACGGCCCAGACUCCUACGGGAGGCAGCAGUGGGGAAUAUUGCACAAUGGGCGAAAGCCUGAUGCAGCGACGCCGCGUGAGGGAUGACGGCCUUCGGGUUGUAAACCUCUUUCAGCAGGGAAGAAGCGAAAGUGACGGUACCUGCAGAAGAAGCACCGGCUAACUACGUG